AGACUCUGAGAAGGUCACCCA
This 21-nucleotide microRNA is filed under the name Ananas comosus (pineapple). Its description in RNAcentral is "microRNA s1086_c136a". The record is from RNAcentral. Lineage: Eukaryota; Viridiplantae; Streptophyta; Magnoliopsida; Poales; Bromeliaceae.